Molecule: ribosomal RNA, 504 nt
Filed under: uncultured bacterium
Lineage: Bacteria
Description: partial 16S ribosomal RNA
Rfam family: Bacterial small subunit ribosomal RNA
Source: RNAcentral
AUUGAACGCUGGCGGCAUGCCUUACACAUGCAAGUCGAACGGCAGCAUGGAGAGCUUGCUCUCUGAUGGCGAGUGGCGAACGGGUGAGUAAUGCAUCGGAACGUACCGUGUAAUGGGGGAUAACGUAGCGAAAGUUACGCUAAUACCGCAUACGACCUGAGGGUGAAAGCAGGGGAUCGCAAGACCUUGCGUUAUACGAGCGGCCGAUGUCAGAUUAGCUAGUUGGUGAGGUAAAGGCUCAACAAGGCGACGAUCUGUAGCGGGGCUGAGAGGAUGGUCCGCCACACUGGGACUGAGAAACGGCCCAGACUCCUACGGGGGGCAGCAGUGGGGAAUUUUGGACAAUGGGGGCAACCCUGAUCCAGCCAUGCCGCGUGAGUGAAGAAGGCCUUCGGGUUGUAAAGCUCUUUCGGCCGGGAAGAAAUCGCACAGGCUAAUACUCUGUGUGGAUGACGGUACCGGCAUAAGAAGCACCGGCUAACUACGUGCCAGCCGCCGCCGUAA